CCUGAACCCAUUUCCCAAAGUGUAGCUCUUUAAAGCACCAAAAAAGCCUUACGUGCAUUGUCUACAUAAAGAUUGCUUUUAAUCCUCAAAUGAAAGUUAUAUUUAAAAAAAAGAGAGAGACAAAUUCAGAGGCCCAGAGAUCCUGGAUCCUGGGAUCCAGGUUACACAUCUCAGAGUAACCUGGACCUUGACACCCACUAUGUAAAAUAAUAGAGGAAAUUAAAAAUGAGAAACUAGGAUCACAAACAACUUCUCUUGGGGAAAACAGAAAUGUAAGGACCUUUAAAAGGAAAAGGAACUGGUCCUUGAGUUUUAAAAACUUUGAAUGAGAUACACUAUUACUGAGAGCUUGUAUCUUUGCUUAA
This 365-nucleotide long non-coding RNA is filed under the name Bos taurus (domestic cattle). RNAcentral describes it as "long non-coding RNA NONBTAT015064". The record is from RNAcentral. Lineage: Eukaryota; Metazoa; Chordata; Mammalia; Artiodactyla; Bovidae.